This 365-nucleotide ribosomal RNA is filed under the name uncultured eukaryote. RNAcentral describes it as "partial 18S ribosomal RNA". It matches the Rfam family "Eukaryotic small subunit ribosomal RNA", at positions 592 to 975 of the family's 1831-position model. The record is from RNAcentral.
CAAUAGCGUAUAUUAACGUUGUUGCAGUUAAAAAGCUCGUAGUUGGAUUUCUGGAGGGAGCGUCGGCCCGUAUUUACGAGUGCGUGACGUCUCUGUCCAUCCUUGCGGGAAGGCACGGCAUUGAUUUGUUGUGUCGGAUCGCAUCAUUUACUGUGAAAAAAUUAGAGUGUUCAAAGCAGGCUUUCGCUUGAAUACAUUAGCACGGAAUAAUAAGAUAGGACUUUGGUGCUAUUUUGUUGGUUGAGCCUAAAGUAAUGAUUAAUAGGGAUAGUUGGGGGCACCUGUAUUGCGUUGUCAGAGGUGAAAUUCUUGGAUUUACGCAAGACAAACAGCUGCGAANGNGUCUGGNAAGGAUGUUUNCAUUA